This 508-nucleotide ribosomal RNA is filed under the name uncultured bacterium. RNAcentral's name for it is "partial 16S ribosomal RNA". It matches the Rfam family "Bacterial small subunit ribosomal RNA", at positions 30 to 523 of the family's 1533-position model. The record is from RNAcentral.
AUUGAACGCUGGCGGCAUGCCUUACACAUGCAAGUCGAACGGCAGCGGGGGAGAAGCUUGCUUUUCCUGCCGGCGAGUGGCGAACGGGUGAGUAAUACAUCGGAACGUGCCCUGUAGUGGGGGAUAACUAGUCGAAAGAUUAGCUAAUACCGCAUACGACCUGAGGGUGAAAGUGGGGGACCGCAAGGCCUCAUGCUAUAGGAGCGGCCGAUGUCUGAUUAGCUAGUUGGUGGGGUAAAGGCCUACCAAGGCGACGAUCAGUAGCUGGUCUGAGAGGACGAUCAUCCAAGCUGGGACUGAGACACGGCCCAGACUCCUACGGGAGGCAGCAGUGGGGAAUUUUGGACAAUGGGCGAAAGCCUGAUCCAGCAAUGCCGCGUGUGUGAAGAAGGCCUUCGGGUUGUAAAGCACUUUUGUCCGGAAAGAAAUGGCUCUGGUUAAUACCUGGGGUCGAUGACGGUACCGGAAGAAUAAGGACCGGCUAACUACGUGCCAGCCGCCGCUGUAA